RNAcentral lists this transfer RNA (85 nucleotides) under Caudoviricetes sp. RNAcentral's name for it is "tRNA-Tyr". It matches the Rfam family "tRNA". From Rfam's summary of the family: Transfer RNA (tRNA) molecules are approximately 80 nucleotides in length. Their secondary structure includes four short double-helical elements and three loops (D, anti-codon, and T loops). The record is from RNAcentral. Lineage: Duplodnaviria; Heunggongvirae; Uroviricota; Caudoviricetes.
GGGUCGGUAAGCAUAGUUGGCGAGUGCAAGAGGCUGUAAACCUCCCACAUAAGAAACACCGUUGGUUCGAUUCCAACUCGGCCCA